Molecule: ribosomal RNA, 408 nt
Filed under: uncultured bacterium
Lineage: Bacteria
Description: partial 16S ribosomal RNA
Rfam family: Bacterial small subunit ribosomal RNA
Source: RNAcentral
GACGAACGCUUGCGGCGUUCUUAACACAUGCAAGUCGAACGGAGUGGCGAACGGGUUAGUAUUACUUGAGUAACCUGCCCUCAACUGUUGGAUAAGCCUGGGAAACUGUGUCUAAUACUGCAUAGUUGGGGGUGGGCUCGCGGCCUAUCCGCUUGUUGGUGGGGUGAUGGCCUACCAAGGCGGUGACGGGUAGCCGGCCUGAGAGGGUGGUCGGCCAAAUUGGGACGGGGAUACGGACCAGAUACAUACGGGAGGGAGCAGGGGGAGAGAUUGAACAAGGGGCGCAAACCGGAUGCAGAGAAGCCGCGUAGGGGAUGAAGGCUGUCGGGUUGUAAAAAUCAUUCCGUACAGAACGGGGAUGUGCAGAAGAAGCGCCGGCUAACUACGUGCCAGCAGCCGCGGUAAUAC